UGUCUAGGGGAAUUUUCAUACUACCUCAUGG
Molecule: non-coding RNA, 31 nt
Filed under: Rattus norvegicus (Norway rat)
Lineage: Eukaryota; Metazoa; Chordata; Mammalia; Rodentia; Muridae
Source: RNAcentral